AGAUAGAAAGGUUAACUUCGGUUACAUCGGUGACAGGUGGUGCAUGGUUGUCGUCAGCUCGUGUCGUGAGAUGUUGGGUUAAGUCCCGCAACGAGCGCAACCCUACUGUUAGUUGCCAUCAUUCAGUUGGGCACUCUAGCGAGACUGCCGGUAAUAAACCGGAGGAAGUGGGGAUGACGUCAAAUCAUCAUGCCCCUUAUGACCUGGGCUACACACGUGCUACAAUGGUUGGUACAACGAGUUGCAAGUCGGUGACGGCGAGCUAAUCUCUUAAAGCCAAUCUCAGUUCGGAUUGUAGGCUGCAACUCGCCUACAUGAAGUCGGAAUCGCUAGUAAUCGCGGAUCAGCACGCCGCGGUGAAUACGUUCCCGGGCCUU
RNAcentral lists this ribosomal RNA (377 nucleotides) under uncultured Streptococcus sp. Its description in RNAcentral is "bacterial SSU rRNA". It matches the Rfam family "Bacterial small subunit ribosomal RNA", at positions 1004 to 1382 of the family's 1533-position model. The record is from RNAcentral. Lineage: Bacteria; Bacillati; Bacillota; Bacilli; Lactobacillales; Streptococcaceae.